AUAUCCUAAAAGCCUAGAACCUAAUAAAUUCAAAAUCAUGUAUUUUUUUUUGUGUUUUUAUAU
This 63-nucleotide small RNA is filed under the name Arabidopsis thaliana (thale cress). Its description in RNAcentral is "ATSL219640". Lineage: Eukaryota; Viridiplantae; Streptophyta; Magnoliopsida; Brassicales; Brassicaceae. The record is from RNAcentral.